ACGGAUCCAUUUUUCCAUGGGAAGGGUCGGAAGUUUGGACAAGGAGUGGGGGAAUCUCCAGGACCUCCCCAAAACCCCAACCCGAGGUGAGGGGGAAGAAUUUUUACGAUUCUCACUUCGACUUCCUGGGGUUAUUUUUGGUUGUUUUCGGCCGAGUGAGAAACUGAAAUUUCGUGCGGUUCGAAAUGAGGAUGAGGAGAAAAAAAAAAAAGAAAUUAUUCACGUAAAAAUCAUUUUUUAGAAAUAAUUUUAAAAAAAUAAAUCCUGAGAGAAUUUUUUGGGAAAAAAAAAGGGUUUUCCACAUGAAAAAGGAGCCGGUUUGGAGCCUCCCCCAUCCCUGGAGGUGUCCGAGGAACCCACUGGGUGUUGGUCUGGGUGGCCAGGAUUGGUCCCAGGCUGGAAUUGAUGGUCCUGGAGGGCUUUUCCGACUUUGGGAAUUCCAGAAUUCCGUGAAAAAAAAUUUUUUAAGAGUCUCCUGAAGCCUGGCUGGGAGUCCCUGGAGCGUUUGUGGGGUUUUGGUUCAGGAGGAUGGGUGGGAAAAGGAGCCUGAAUCCCAAGGAGCUGCCAAAAUCGAGGAGAACGAUCCCAAAAGGUUCCAAAUCCUCCCUGAAAUCCCAGACUGAGGCUGCUGGGAGGGAAACUGAGGCAGGAGGAAAUCCUGGGAGGGUGAGAUCCAUGAGAUUCAGGGAUUGGGGAUGUUGGAGAUGUUCCAGAGCCGUUCCAGAGUCACCUUGUGGGGUCCAUCCCUGUGACUGAGGAGUGGAGACCCUUUAAACCAGUUCCAGAUCUUUCUAAACCAGUUCCAGAUCCCUUAAACCAGUUCUGGAUCCUUCUAAACCAGUUCCAGAUCCUCCUAAACCAGUUCCAGACCCCUUAAAUCAGUUCCAGGUUCUUCUAAACCAUCUCCAGACUCUUUAAACCAGUUCCAGAUCCCUUAAACCAGUUCUGGAUCCUUCUAAACCAGUUCCAGAUCCUUCUAAACCAUCUCCAGACUCUUUAAACCAGUUCUGGAUCCUUCUAAACCAGUUCCAGAUCCUUCUAAACCAUCUCCAGACUCUUUAAACCAGUUCCAGAUCCUUCUAAACCAGUUCCAGAUCCUUCUAAACCAGUUCCAGAUCCUCCUAAACCAUUCCAGAUCCUUCUAAACCAUCUCCAGACUCUUUAAACCAGUUCCAGAUCCCUUAAAUAAUUUCCAGGUUCUUCUAAAGCAGCUCCAGGUCAUUUAAAUCAGCUCCAGGUUCCUUUAAAUCAGUUCUGGAUCAUUCUAAACCAGCUCUGGGUCCUUUAAACCAGCUCCAGAUCCUUUAAAUCAUUCCCAGGUUCCUUUAAAUCAGUUCCAGGUUCCUUUAAACCAGCUCCAGGUCCUUUAAACCAGCUCCAGGUUCCUUUAAACCAGCUCCAGGUCCUUUAAAUCAGUCCCAGGUUCCUUUAAAUCAGUCCCAGGUUCCUUUAAACCAGCUCCAGGUCCUUUAAACCAGCUCCAGGUCCUUUAAACCAGCUCCAGGUCCUUUAAAUCAGUCCCAGGUCCUUUAAACCAUCUCCAGGUCCUUUAAACCAUCUCCAGGUCCCUCUAGACCAGCUCCAGCCCGGUCACGAUGACAUUUUCCACUGUCCCCUCACCUGC
This is a long non-coding RNA of Poecile atricapillus (Black-capped chickadee), 1624 nucleotides long. RefSeq lists it as uncharacterized. The transcript is spliced from 4 exons. Lineage: Eukaryota; Metazoa; Chordata; Aves; Passeriformes; Paridae. The record is from RefSeq and is a predicted model, not a curated record.